CCUACGGGUGGCAGCAGUGAGGAAUAUUGGUCAAUGGGCGGAAGCCUGAACCAGCCAAGUCGCGUGAGGGAUUAAGGCCCUGCGGGUCGUAAACCUCUUUUGCCGGGGAGCAGUGGUCCGGACGUGUCCGGGCCGGGAGAGUACCCGGACAAAAAACAUCGGCUAACUCGGUGCCAGCAGCCGCGGUAAUACGGAGGAUGCGAGCGUUAUCCGGAUUUAUUGGGGUUAAAGGGUGCGUAGGCGGAAUGCCAAGUCAGCGGUAAAAUCGCGGGGCUCAACCUCGCUCCGCCGUUGAAACUGGCGUGCUUGAGUGGGCGAGAAGUAUGCGGAAUGCGUGGUGUAGCGGUGAAAUGCAUAGAGAUCACGCAGAACUCCGAUUGCGAAGGCAGCAUACCGGCGCCCAACUGACGCUGAAGCACGAAAGCGUGGGUAUCGAACAGGAUUAGAUACCCUUGUAGUC
Molecule: ribosomal RNA, 460 nt
Filed under: uncultured bacterium
Lineage: Bacteria
Description: partial 16S ribosomal RNA
Rfam family: Bacterial small subunit ribosomal RNA
Source: RNAcentral